Long non-coding RNA from Oncorhynchus tshawytscha (Chinook salmon), 2116 nucleotides. The record is from Ensembl. Lineage: Eukaryota; Metazoa; Chordata; Actinopteri; Salmoniformes; Salmonidae.
UGGUACUAGUGUGUCCAGAUAUGAGCUGUGGUACCAGUAUGUCCAGUUAGAAGCUGCAGUACCAGGAUGUCCAGGUAGGAGCUGUGGAACCAGUAUGUCCAGGUACCAGCAUGUCCUGGUAGGAGCUGUGGUACCAGUAUGUCCAGGUACCAGGAUGUCCAGGUAGGAGCUGAGGUACCAGUAUGUCCAGGUAGGAGCUGUGGUACCAGUAUGUCCACGUACCAGUAUGUCCAGGUAGGAGCUGAGGUACCAGGAUGUCCAGGUAGGAGCUGUGGUACCAGUAGGUCCAGGUAGGAGCUGCAGUUCCAGGAUGUCCAGGUACCAGUAUGUCCAGGUAGGAGCUGCAGUACCAGGAUGUCCAGGUAGGAGCUGUGGUACCAGUAUAUCCUGGUAGGAGCUGUGGUACCAGUAUGUCCAGGUAGGAGCUGUGGUACCAGUAUGUCCAGGUAGAAGCUGUGGAACCAGGAUGUCCAGGUACCAGUAUGUCCUGGUAGUAGCUGUGGUACUAGUGUGUCCAGAUAUGAGCUGUGGUACCAGUAUGUCCAGUUAGAAGCUGCAGUACCAGGAUGUCCAGGUAGGAGCUGUGGAACCAGUAUGUCCAGGUACCAGGAUGUCCAGGUAGGAGCUGUGGAACCAGUAUGUCCAGGUACCAGGAUGUCCAGGUAGGAGCUGUGGUACCAGUAUGUCCAGGUAGGAGCUGUGGUACCAGUAUGUCCAGGUAGGAGCUGUGGUACCAGUAUGUCCAGGUACCAGGAUGUCCAUGUAGGAGCUGUGGUACCAAUAUGUCCUGGUAGGAGCUGUGGUACCAGUAUGUCCUGGUAGGAGCUGCGGUACCAGUAUGUCCAGGUAGGAGCUGCGGUACCAGUAUGUCCAGGUAGGAGCUGUGGUACCAGUAUGUCCAGGUAGGAGCUGAGGUACCAGUAUGUCCAGGUAGGAGCUGAGGUACCAGGAUGUCCAGGUAGGAGCUGUGGUACCAGUAUGUCCAGGUAGGAGCUGUGGUAACAGUAUGUCCAGGUUAACCAUUGGUGUGCACAUGGUAUAUUGUACAGGGAGUUUUACUGUACUUCAGUGAUGCCUGUAUAUAUUUCUUGAAGUUUUAGAUACCCAUAAAAACAUUUCUACUUUACUAAACUGUCUGAUUCCAGAAAAGGCUAUGUUAAACUAACUUCAUGUUUUGUUUCUGUAUUACUAUAUAGAUAAUAAUGGAGCUGGAAGGACAUGAAAUGACCCACAUUCUUGUUUUUGUGGAAGAGGCUAGGUUCAAUCUGGCCGAAUGCAGAGACGUGGAAGCAAUCUCAUUGGCCACCGAGCCACAAUUGUCACACCAGGCCAACGUGGGGACCAUAUUACAAUGUGUGCUGCCAUUUCUGAGAAUGUUGUGAGCAAAACAUAUUCCACACAUUGGGUCCUAUAACACCCAACUUCUCCUGUCCUUCCUAAAUAUACUGUACAGAGACCUAAUACCAGAACAUGAAAGAGAUUGCAUCGCAAGGGAAAACAUCAGAUGUGAUUCUGACUAAAAUCUCUGGCCAGACCAACAAGAGUGCCAGUGUGUCCAAGAAGAUGGGAACUUGUAGUGUUACGUAGGGUGCGGAGGUACUAUUUAUUGUUUUUUACAGAACUGUCGCAGGUUUUUUUCAAUGUUGCGAGUUUAUUUAUUUUUUGCAUAGAUGUCAUUUUGUGGCAAAUUUUCUGUUCAAUAUAUAUGACUUUACAUGUAAGAAAUAUGUAAAAAUGGACAUGCAAAUGUGAAUUUUCUGUUUACAUGUAACACAUUGCUAUAAAUGUUCUGUAUACAUGCAAAUGUGCAUAUCCUUUUUCUGUGUACUACAGUAUUGUUCAAAAAAACAAAAAAAAUGUUUUAUUUUGGUGGCGUUGGUCAAUUCACUGACACAAUAACUAGGCUUUGAAGCACAAAUAGAAAAAAUUGGGUGAGAGACUACAUUUUGCAGACAUGCAAUAGAGUUGUGAUGUCCCAUAAAACAGUUGUGACAAUUGCACUUACAGUUUAGAGAAUGUUAAGCCUGUUUAAAAAAUUGAGCCAAAGCGAUUGAGGAAAAACUAAUUAUUUAUAUAUAUUAGCUUGUUUAUACACUAGGUGGCACUAUAUGUUAGG